This 253-nucleotide ribosomal RNA is filed under the name uncultured bacterium. RNAcentral's name for it is "partial 16S ribosomal RNA". It matches the Rfam family "Bacterial small subunit ribosomal RNA", at positions 524 to 776 of the family's 1533-position model. The record is from RNAcentral.
UACAGAGGGUGCAAGCGUUGUUCGGAAUUAUUGGGCGUAAAGGGAGUGUAGGCGGUCGAGAAAGUCUUCUGUGAAAUCUACGGGCUUAGCCUGUAACGUGCAGAGGAAACUGCUUGGCUUGAGUGUCGGAGAGGAUAGGGGAAUACCCGGUGUAGAGGUGAAAUUCGUAGAGAUCGGGUGGAACACCAGUGGCGAAGGCGCCUAUCUGGCUGACAACUGACGCUGAGACUCGAAAGCAUGGGGAGCAAACAGG